AUUAGUGGCGAACGGGUGAGUAACACGUGAGUAACCUGCCCUUAACUCUGGGAUAAGCCUGGGAAACUGGGUCUAAUACCGGAUAUGACUCCUCAUCGCAUGGUGGGGGGUGGAAAGCUUUUUUGUGGUUUUGGAUGGACUCGCGGCCUAUCAGCUUGUUGGUGAGGUAAUGGCUCACCAAGGCGACGACGGGUAGCCGGCCUGAGAGGGUGACCGGCCACACUGGGACUGAGACACGGCCCAGACUCCUACGGGAGGCAGCAGUGGGGAAUAUUGCACAAUGGGCGCAAGCCUGAUGCAGCGACGCCGCGUGAGGGAUGACGGCCUUCGGGUUGUAAACCUCUUUCAGUAGGGAAGAAGCGAAAGUGACGGUACCUGCAGAAGAAGCGCCGGCUAACUACGUGCCAGCAGCCGCGGUAAUACGUAGGGCGCAAGCGUUAUCCGGAAUUAUUGGGCGUAAAGAGCUCGUAGGCGGUUUGUCGCGUCUGCCGUGAAAGUCCGGGGCUCAACUCCGGAUCUGCGGUGGGUACGGGCAGACUAGAGUGAUGUAGGGGAGACUGGAAUUCCUGGUGUAGCGGUGAAAUGCGCAGAUAUCAGGAGGAACACCGAUGGCGAAGGCAGGUCUCUGGGCAUUAACUGACGCUGAGGAGCGAAAGCAUGGGGAGCGAACAGGAUUAGAUACCCUGGUAGUCCAUGCCGUAAACGUUGGGCACUAGGUGUGGGGGACAUUCCACGUUUUCCGCGCCGUAGC
This 751-nucleotide ribosomal RNA is filed under the name Arthrobacter sp. RNAcentral's name for it is "bacterial SSU rRNA". It matches the Rfam family "Bacterial small subunit ribosomal RNA", at positions 91 to 852 of the family's 1533-position model. Lineage: Bacteria; Bacillati; Actinomycetota; Actinomycetes; Micrococcales; Micrococcaceae. The record is from RNAcentral.